UACGUAGGGUCCGAGCGUUGUCCGGAAUUACUGGGCGUAAAGAGCUCGUAGGUGGUUUGUCGCGUUGUUCGUGAAAACUCACAGCUUAACUGUGGGCGUGCGGGCGAUACGGGCAGACUGGAGUACUGCAGGGGAGACUGGAAUUCCUGGUGUAGCGGUGGAAUGCGCAGAUAUCAGGAGGAACACCGAUGGCGAAGGCGGGUCUCUGGGCAGUAACUGACGCUGAGGAGCGAAAGCGUGGGGAGCGAACAGG
This 253-nucleotide ribosomal RNA is filed under the name uncultured bacterium. Its description in RNAcentral is "partial 16S ribosomal RNA". It matches the Rfam family "Bacterial small subunit ribosomal RNA", at positions 524 to 776 of the family's 1533-position model. The record is from RNAcentral.